UACGGGGGAAAGCAGGGGAUCGUAAGACCUUGCACUAUUGGAGCGGCCGAUAUCGGAUUAGCUAGUUGGUGGGGUAACGGCUCACCAAGGCGACGAUCCGUAGCUGGUUUGAGAGGACGACCAGCCACACUGGGACUGAGACACGGCCCAGACUCCUACGGGAGGCAGCAGUGGGGAAUUUUGGACAAUGGGGGAAACCCUGAUCCAGCCAUCCCGCGUGUGCGAUGAAGGCCUUCGGGUUGUAAAGCACUUUUGGCAGGAAAGAAACGUCAUGGGUUAAUACCC
Molecule: ribosomal RNA, 285 nt
Filed under: uncultured bacterium
Lineage: Bacteria
Description: partial 16S ribosomal RNA
Rfam family: Bacterial small subunit ribosomal RNA
Source: RNAcentral